RNAcentral lists this RNase P RNA (339 nucleotides) under Aminobacterium sp. RNAcentral describes it as "RNase P RNA component class A". It matches the Rfam family "Bacterial RNase P class A". Rfam says of the family: Ribonuclease P (RNase P) is a ubiquitous endoribonuclease, found in archaea, bacteria and eukarya as well as chloroplasts and mitochondria. Its best characterised activity is the generation of mature 5'-ends of tRNAs by cleaving the 5'-leader elements of precursor-tRNAs. Lineage: Bacteria; Thermotogati; Synergistota; Synergistia; Synergistales; Aminobacteriaceae. The record is from RNAcentral. RNAcentral also lists the same sequence under 1 other name.
GGAGUAUUUUAAAUGGUCGCUAUACUUUUAUAGUGUAGAGGAAAGUCCGGGCUCCAUAGGGCAAGGGCGCUGGAUAACGUCCAGUUGGUGCAAACCAAAGGAAAGUGCCACAGAGAGAUACCGCUUCUUUUUGAAGUAAGGGUGAAAAGGUGGGGUAAGAGCCCACCAGGUAUCAGGCAACUGAUAUGCUUGGCAAACCCCGCCCGGAGCAAGACCGAAUAGAGAGGGAUGAGGCUGCCCGCUGACCUCUGGGUACGGUCGCUUGAGAAAAACCGCGAGGUUUUUACUAGAUAAAUGACCAUUUUUCAUACAGAACCCGGCUUAUAAAGUGCUCCUUAU